CCUACGGGUGGCAGCAGUGAGGAAUAUUGGUCAAUGGACGAGAGUCUGAACCAGCCAAGUAGCGUGAAGGAUGACUGCUCUAUGGGUUGUAAACUUCUUUUAUAUGGGAAUAAAACGUUCCACGUGUGGGAUUUUGUAUGUACCAUAUGAAUAAGGAUCGGCUAACUCCGUGCCAGCAGCCGCGGUAAUACGGAGGAUCCGAGCGUUAUCCGGAUUUAUUGGGUUUAAAGGGAGCGUAGGUGGAUUGUUAAGUCAGUUGUGAAAGUUUGCGGCUCAACAGUAAAAUUGCAGUUGAAACUGGCAGUCUUGAGUACAGUAGAGGUGGGCGGAAUUCGUGGUGUAGCGGUGAAAUGCUUAGAUAUCACGAAGAACUCCGAUUGCGAAGGCAGUUCACUGGACUGCAACUGACACUGAGGCUCGAAAGUGUGGGUAUCAAACAGGAUUAGAUACCCCAGUAGUC
This 460-nucleotide ribosomal RNA is filed under the name uncultured bacterium. Its description in RNAcentral is "partial 16S ribosomal RNA". It matches the Rfam family "Bacterial small subunit ribosomal RNA", at positions 338 to 795 of the family's 1533-position model. The record is from RNAcentral.